Molecule: ribosomal RNA, 1346 nt
Filed under: uncultured bacterium
Lineage: Bacteria
Description: bacterial SSU rRNA
Rfam family: Bacterial small subunit ribosomal RNA
Source: RNAcentral
GACGAACGCUGGCGGCGUGCUUAACACAUGCAAGUCGAACGGAAAGGCCCUGCUUUUGUGGGGUGCUCGAGUGGCGAACGGGUGAGUAACACGUGAGUAACCUGCCCUUGACUUUGGGAUAACUUCAGGAAACUGGGGCUAAUACCGGAUAGGAGCUCCUGCUGCAUGGUGGGGGUUGGAAAGUUUCGGCGGUUGGGGAUGGACUCGCGGCUUAUCAGCUUGUUGGCGGGGUAGUGGCUUACCAAGGCUUUGACGGGUAGCCGGCCUGAGAGGGUGACCGGCCACAUUGGGACUGAGAUACGGCCCAGACCCCUACGGGAGGCAGCAGUGGGGAAUAUUGCACAAUGGGCGGAAGCCUGAUGCAGCAACGCCGCGUGCGGGAUGACGGCCUUCGGGUUGUAAACCGCUUUCGCCUGUGACGAAGCGUGAGUGACGGUAAUGGGUAAAGAAGCACCGGCUAACUACGUGCCAGCAGCCGCGGCGAUACGUAGGGUGCGAGCGUUGUCCGGAUUUAUUGGGCGUAAAGGGCUCGUAGGUGGUUGAUCGCGUCGGAAGUGUAAUCUUGGGGCUUAACCCUGAGCGUGCUUUCGAUACGGGUUGACUUGAGGAAGGUAGGGGAGAAUGGAAUUCCUGGUGGAGCGGUGGAAUGCGCAGAUAUCAGGAGGAACACCAGUGGCGAAGGCGGUUCUCUGGGCCUUUCCUGACGCUGAGGAGCGAAAGCGUGGGGAGCGAACAGGUUUAGAUACCCUGGUAGUCCACGCUGUAAACGGUGGGUACUAGGUGUGGGGUCCAUUCCACGGGUUCCGUGCCGUAGCUAACGCUUUAAGUACCCCGCCUGGGGAGUACGGCCGCAAGGCUAAAACUCAAAGGAAUUGACGGGGCCCCGCACAAGCGGCGGAGCAUGCGGAUUAAUUCGAUGCAACGCGUAGAACCUUACCUGGGUUUGACAUGGAUCGGGAGUGCUCAGAGAUGGGUGUGCCUCUUUUGGGGUCGGUUCACAGGUGGUGCAUGCCUGUCGUCAGCUCGUGUCGUGAGAUGUUGGGUUAAGUCCCGCAACGAGCGCAACCCUUGUUCACUGUUGCCAGCACGUUAUGGUGGGGACUCAGUGGAGACCGCCGGGGUCAACUCGGAGGAAGGUGGGGAUGACGUCAAGUCAUCAUGCCCCUUAUGUCCAGGGCUUCACGCAUGCUACAAUGGCUGGUACAGAGAGUGGCGAGCCUGUGAGGGUGAGCGAAUCUCGGAAAGCCGGUCUCAGUUCGGAUUGGGGUCUGCAACUCGACCUCAUGAAGUCGGAGUCGCUAGCAAUCGCAGAUCAGCAACGCUGCGGUGAAUACGUUCCCGGGGCU